GUAAAUUGUUUUUUGAAUAGCAAAAUAAUUUACUAAUUGUCCUCUUGCCCAUACAGAAAGAAACAAUGUGCCUCCCGACCUACUGAUAUCUAUUUUAUGGCUAAUGGCUAGCAAUCCUGGGUCCUAGCUGGCUGUGACAAUGUACUGUUGAGUGGUCAUUCUGGUCAAUUAUCUAGUUUGCCGACAACCCAAGAAGUGUUAUGAACUAAACACGAUGUAAACGUAUGCCUCGUCAGCCAUAAAGUAACAUUUUAGCUAGCCGGUUCCUACUACUUUAAAGGCACCGACACCGUGCCUUGCAAGAAUGAUGUCCACCUACUCUACUGUAUGUGUCAUCUGAACUGAAAACUGAAAUCCAGAUUAGGAAGUGAAAUCAGCAACUGCAAAAUAACCUAGUGCUACAGUAAUGCAAGUGGUAUGUCUGACGCAUAAUCCACAUAACAUAGUUGGCUGGCAAUGCGUUGUGCUAUUGAAUAGUCAGUCAGGUUUUAUACUGCACUCCUCCUAAGGCCCACCUCAGGCAGAGGAAUGGGGGGGGGCAGCGGUGGUGCAGGCCCGGAUUAGCAGAGUCGGAAGGGGCACUGGCAGAACCAGAAGCAGGUGAAGGAGCUGUUGAGAGAGCUGCAGACCUAGGACUAUGACAACGAGCCUUAUGAUGAAGAAGCAGAGGAGUAUGACUAGCUGGAUUACCAGGAGGAAGUGCAGUUCUGGAACCUAAUGAGCCUGUGGAGAGCCCUGUCUAUGAUCCUGACUCAGAGGAUGAACGGUAGC
Long non-coding RNA from Oncorhynchus kisutch (coho salmon), 771 nucleotides. RefSeq lists it as uncharacterized. The record is from RefSeq and is a predicted model, not a curated record. The transcript has 3 exons. Lineage: Eukaryota; Metazoa; Chordata; Actinopteri; Salmoniformes; Salmonidae.